RNAcentral lists this unclassified non-coding RNA (253 nucleotides) under uncultured Sphingomonadaceae bacterium. Its description in RNAcentral is "contains 16S-23S intergenic spacer region". It matches the Rfam family "Bacterial small subunit ribosomal RNA", at positions 524 to 776 of the family's 1533-position model. Lineage: Bacteria; Pseudomonadati; Pseudomonadota; Alphaproteobacteria; Sphingomonadales; Sphingomonadaceae. The record is from RNAcentral.
UACGGAGGGUGCGAGCGUUGUUCGGAAAUACUGGGCGUAAAGCGCACGUAGGCGGCUUGGCAAGUCAGGGGUGAAAUCCCGGAGCUCAACUCCGGAACUGCCUUCGAAACUGCCUGGCUAGAAUCCUGGAGAGGCGAGUGGAAUUCCGAGUGUAGAGGUGAAAUGCGUAGAUAUUCGGAAGAACACCAGUGGCGAAGGCGACUCGCUGGACAGGAAUUGACGCUGAGGUGCGAAAGCGUGGGGAGCAAACAGG